GAGUGAAACCAAACUCAUGUAUAACUGGUCAAAUCAAGUAUCUACAUUAGAAUCAUAGAAAACUAUACAUAAUCCAAACAAUAAAGAGAAUUAGCUAAGCAUAGCCUUACAAUACAUAAUCAAGAAGAGAUGGAAUAGUUAUAUUGAAUUCCUCAAGCUCCUUUCUUCUCCUCUCUCUCUAUAUAUAUGAAAAAGGUCUCCAAAAACCGGUGCUUUGAUCUUUAUUUAUAAGUUUUCUAAAGUGAAAAUUUGUUGGGCAAAUAGUAUGUUCCUUCAGCAAAUUGCAUUUCUUCACCAUGA
RNAcentral lists this long non-coding RNA (300 nucleotides) under Medicago truncatula (barrel medic). Its description in RNAcentral is "long non-coding RNA (MTRU_LNC004698)". Lineage: Eukaryota; Viridiplantae; Streptophyta; Magnoliopsida; Fabales; Fabaceae. The record is from RNAcentral.